Myodes glareolus (Bank vole) is the source of this 1470-nucleotide non-coding RNA. The record is from RefSeq and is a predicted model, not a curated record. NCBI's taxonomy places the organism in Eukaryota, Metazoa, Chordata, Mammalia, Rodentia, Cricetidae.
CCAAGUCUUAGGUGUAGGGCUGGCAGGCAGGACUCAGAUCCUCCUGCAGGAGCCUGGACUUCUGGUAUCGGGUUCUCCCCUUCCAGAUAGUUGCUGUCCUGUCCCAGGUGUCCAAAACUGGCAGCUAGGAAAGUGAGGACUCUCCCCACAUCCCCCCACCUUUUGCUUUUUCGAGACAGGGUCUCUAUGUAGCUUUGGCUGUUCUGUCCUGGGCUGGGCUCAAACUCACAGCGAUCCACCUGCCUCUGCCUCCCAAGUGCUGGGAUUAAAGGCACGCAUCACUACACCUAGCUUCAGUUUUGAAACUACAUCAAUACUUAAAAUUCACAGCAUGGGUCUGACUGAUCCCCUCCCUCUCCCCCAGGGGUGUAAUGCAAAAAUGCUGGAGCCAGGGUAGAGAGAGCUUAUCCAGGAAAGGAGGGAGGGGGACUAUGGCAACCAGCGAGAUCCUGAAUGAGUUCUGAAAGCCCAGUUAAGAUUCUUAGAUGGCUGUGGUGGCACACAUCUUUAAUCCCAGCCCUCAGGAAGCAGAGUUAGGCGAAUCUCUGAGUCUGAGACUUUUAGAAACACAGCCAACGAUGGGGAAGAGGAACAAACAAAAACUGCUAGGCCAUAAGCAGAAAUCUAACAGCCCACAAUGGGCUCCUUGUGCUAUAGAUGAAAGGUAGCCGAGCAACCAGAGAGAAUUAAUGGAGCAAACAGUCUCCGGCACAGCCUCUGCUUCAGUUCCUGCCCUGAUUUCACUUCAUGAUGGACUGUAACAUGGAAGGGUUGCAGCAGCUUGGUGAGCCACCUCACCCCCAUUUGAGGGUGUGUGUGUGUGUGUGUAACUGAAUUAAAUCAGGAAUGGCAGGUGGCAGAUGAGUUUACCUGCUGAGCAAGAGAGAAGCAGAGGGCUAACAGGAGCAGCCUUCCAUCACCUCCAUGGGAAGAACAUGGCCUGGUUGGGACACUGACUCCUGAACAGCCUUUGGGCCCAGGGAGUCAAGCCAGCUGACCUGCAAGCUCAUGAAUCAAGAAGUCCAAACAAUCUGAAGAAGGCCAGGCCAUCCUGACUGUGAAUCUGAGAGAUGAACUCACCCCCCCCCCCCCGGAAGGCGGGAAGCGGAUUUAACCCUUCAUUAUGCUCUUCUUGCCUUCCCCGAAGGUGCCCGCCUUCCCUAGAGCUCUGUCUGCACAGCUAAUCCCAAGUGGUAUUUUCCUUUUGGUAAACCUCACCUACCAGCAGGAGGCUGCUCUAUGCAGAAAGCAGCCAGGGAUCCCAGAGUUCCAGACCUCUCCAUUAUCUUCCCAUUGGACAGUCUGUUUCUGCCACCUGUUUAGGCUUCAAGGCCACUUUUGUUCUCCACCAUUUUUUUGGGGGGGGUGACCUAUGGUUUCCUCCCCAGCAUCUCCCCAGGCUGCCCACCUGAACACUUCCCAUGUUUUCCUUGUAAACAGUACAAAAUAGAACAAAAUAUUAAUCCUUCA